Astatotilapia calliptera (eastern happy) is the source of this 1524-nucleotide long non-coding RNA. Lineage: Eukaryota; Metazoa; Chordata; Actinopteri; Cichliformes; Cichlidae. The record is from Ensembl.
AUUCAGAGUCAUGCCUCCACUUAACCCAGUGGAAUUCAUGCUGUACAGUUUUAUACAAGAUUUCCAACAAACUGAAGGCUCAAACAAUUAUCUCCUGCAGGGACAAAUCCUGCUGGGUGCUAGUGGAGUUGGAUGCAAUAAAUGUAUCUGCCCCUAGUCACCUGGGUCUCAGUGGUCAUAAGGUGUAAACAAACCUUUCUACUUUGCCUAGAUAAUAUUUUCUUUUCACUACAAGCCACAUUUAUCAAUUUCUACAUAUGCACUGAUGUCUUUGAACUAUAGAAAAACAUCACAGCACCCAUAUAAACUCACACAGAUACAGGGAGCACCAUCGGAAAAGCCACAUAAAGGUUCAACCCAGAACCUUUCUGCUGUGAGAUAACAGUGCUAAUAGCUGCAGCACUCUGUGGCAUGUGACAGUGUUCCUCGCUCCCUGCUUACUACAGAAAAAGGCAUAACAUCCAAAAAUGAGAUGCCUUGGUCCUUGUGCAAUAAGUCAAUGAUUAAAAGAAUACCAGCAAAUCUAAAGCACAAUAGCUAAAAAAAAAAAUGAAUAAAUAAAAGAAUUGAGGUAUUCAAUAGUGGUCAAAGUCCAGACCUAAAAAUGAUUGAAAUGCUGUGGCAGGACCUUAAGAUAGCUAUGCAUAAACAAAUACCUGUGAACCUGAAAGAACUGAAGCAACGCUAGAAAUGACUCAAAAAUUCCUCCACAACAAUGUAAACAAUACUGCCAGUGCGCCCCUCAAACUCCUAACAGACACACCUAUGGUGUCAAUUUCAAAAUCCUACAUUGCCUUGUUCUCAAGUUAUCACAUUCACAAGAUUUUCAGAAAACUUACUCUGACAUUGAGAUUCAGGUAACUGAGAUUCAAAAUCAUUCAAAUGUUUUAGUAGAUGCACCUAUGUUAUCAAUUUGAAAAUCUCAGGUGACUUAUUUCUUGAGUUACUGCAUCCACAAGAUGCAACAAUCUGGGAUAUCCUCAUCUGUACCCCUCAAUACCUUUGGAUCUCUGGCAUUAAAGCGUAAUAAAACAAUAAAAUUUCAGUGUUUCAUCAAAACAUGCUUGACUUAGAUUAUGCAGCAUGUAAUGAGCCUAAUUCUGCAUUCUGAUUUGUAGACCACCUAAAUCCACAACUAACAUUUUAGGUGGUUUUGGUAACAGCCAUUCCAGACUUAAUAGUACCUCUUUAAAGUAAGAGGUCCAAAAAAUCUCUCAGGCUUGGGAUAAUAGAAAAUAUUUUCACAGAACAGAAUGAUUUAGAAAGCACAAAAGAAAUGGUCAUACAAUUGAAUGUACACCUUGACUCUCUAAAGACCUUGAUUUAAAAAAUAAAUAAAUAAAAAACAGUCAAUGAAGCAAAAACUCCUGAUCAAAUUGUUGUAGUUUGUAUCUGGUUUUUAACCCUGUUUGAUAAUUGCUUGUGAUGGCUUUUUCAGGGGUGGAUUGGCUGUCAGAUAAUUUCCUUCAACUAUGAUUAAGUCUGACAGCCUAGAAAAUAAACAAUAGGUUUUUGUGCUCCCCC